This 1279-nucleotide long non-coding RNA is filed under the name Brassica napus (rape). RNAcentral's name for it is "long non-coding RNA (BNAP_LNC001132)". Lineage: Eukaryota; Viridiplantae; Streptophyta; Magnoliopsida; Brassicales; Brassicaceae. The record is from RNAcentral.
UAAAGUUAGAAAUGUUCUUUUACAUGAGUCUGUGAAUUUUUUUGCUGUAAAAAAAAAGAGAUGUUCUUAUAAGUAUAUACUUAAUUUAAGCUCUGGUUACGGCCACAUAUCAGUGCAAGUGUGUGUUACACCUCAUGCAUGAAAUCAGUUAGAAGAACAAGAAACAUCUAGGAGAUACGAUGACAUAAAUGAAAAGACCUAAAACGUUAGAUAUAAUAGCACAAGAGGUUUAUUUGAUAUAUUUGGAUUCCUGUUUAUCUAUUUGUAUUGUUUUAUUUUGUUAUAUAUACGUGGAAUAUACACUCCGUAUACAUACUAUUAAGUCCCCUUCAUGUAGAUAUACGUAGCAUCAUGAUGGAACAGCCACACUUGGUUCUGAACCGAUAUAGUUCAAUGUUUAUGGAAUUUAUUCUCAAACAAUCUAACACAACAAUUACCAAAAUGCUGUUAGAUACAAUUUAAGAUGAUUUAUUCGUUUUACAUUAUUUAUUUGUUUGUUUGCAAAAGAACUUUCAUGUUGUACACGAAUUUUGCUAAAUAUAUUAUAAACCGUUAAAAUAUUAUAAAUUAUAAGCCCUUUUUCAAAAAAGAAAUAUUCUAAAUUAUAUUAUAUAUAUAUAUAUAUCGGACGAGCUUAUAUAAAUACAUAAUUCAUAUCUUCAUUCGCAGUAAAACAAUUAUUAGCAAAAAUACAAACUUUUUUUACUAAAAAUAUUUGAAAACUUCGAACACAGUUUUUAGGCAAAAUAUUUGAAACAUACAAUCGAAAUACAUUUGAAUUGAAAGCAAAACACAAACAAUAUGAUAAAUUUUGAGUUUCUAUGUAAUCAAUAAUAAAAGAAAAACUUUUCAAAAAAUAAAAUAAAAGAAAAAACAGUAAAAACAAGAGCUUACCCAACAGAAGAAUCACGAAAGUGGAAAGCAACCGAAAGCUCGUAUCUUGUUGUGUGCAUGUUGGGUCCUUUUGUCUCUCUUUUUCUCUGUCUACGAAUGUGCAGAAGAUGCUUCAUAUACGUAGCGUCGUUCAUCAGAAUAAAAACAAUUAACAUUAAUUAAACAAAAGGCCUCGAUGUUGAUCCCUUUCUGAGGAUUUUAUAAUAUUAGCGUGGUAACCAAAAACAAAUUAUAGAAUAUAUAAGUAAUAUAGAAAGUUGCAUGAUCAAGAGAGCUUUUAGGGCGUAGAAGAGAUAAAGAGCGCGUCGCCACACAUGAAGAGAAGGGAAAGGCGUAAGGCGAGACAUGGAUGCGUUUUAAUUUGUCUCUCUACCUAUAAACCAAA